CUUCCGUAGGGUGACCUGCGGAAGGAUCAUUACCGAGUGCGGGUCCUUUGGGCCCAACCUCCCAUCCGUGUCUAUUGUACCCUGUUGCUUCGGCGGGCCCGCCGCUUGUCGGCCGCCGGGGGGGCGCCUCUGCCCCCCGGGCCCGUGCCCGCCGGAGACCCCAACACGAACACUGUCUGAAAGCGUGCAGUCUGAGUUGAUUGAAUGCAAUCAGUUAAAACUUUCAACAAUGGAUCUCUUGGUUCCGGCAUCGAUGAAGAACGCAGCGAAAUGCGAUAACUAAUGUGAAUUGCAGAAUUCAGUGAAUCAUCGAGUCUUUGAACGCACAUUGCGCCCCCUGGUAUUCCGGGGGGCAUGCCUGUCCGAGCGUCAUUGCUGCCCUCAAGCCCGGCUUGUGUGUUGGGUCGCCGUCCCCCUCUCCGGGGGGACGGGCCCGAAAGGCAGCGGCGGCACCGCGUCCGAUCCUCGAGCGUAUGGGGCUUUGUCACAUGCUCUGUAGGAUUGGCCGGCGCCUGCCGACGUUUUCCAACCAUUCUUUCCAGGUUGACCUCGGAUCAGGUAGGGAUACCCGCUGAACUUAAGCAUAUCAAUAAGCGGAGGUCAUUA
This 606-nucleotide ribosomal RNA is filed under the name Aspergillus niger. RNAcentral describes it as "eukaryotic LSU rRNA". The stretch from base 219 to 372 matches the Rfam family "5.8S ribosomal RNA". The record is from RNAcentral. Lineage: Eukaryota; Fungi; Ascomycota; Eurotiomycetes; Eurotiales; Aspergillaceae.